GACAGAGGGUGCAAACGUUGUUCGGAAUUACUGGGCGUAAAGCGCGUGUAGGCGGCCAUCUAAGUCGGGCGUGAAAUCCCACGGCUCAACCGUGGAAGUGCACUCGAAACUGGAUGGCUAGAGUCCUGGAGAGGAAGGUGGAAUGCUUGGUGUAGAGGUGAAAUUCGUAGAUAUCAAGCGGAACACCGGUGGCGAAGGCGGCCUUCUGGACAGUGACUGACGCUGAGACGCGAAGGCGUGGGGAGCGAACGGGG
This 254-nucleotide ribosomal RNA is filed under the name uncultured bacterium. RNAcentral's name for it is "partial 16S ribosomal RNA". It matches the Rfam family "Bacterial small subunit ribosomal RNA", at positions 524 to 777 of the family's 1533-position model. The record is from RNAcentral.